This 253-nucleotide ribosomal RNA is filed under the name uncultured bacterium. Its description in RNAcentral is "partial 16S ribosomal RNA". It matches the Rfam family "Bacterial small subunit ribosomal RNA", at positions 524 to 776 of the family's 1533-position model. The record is from RNAcentral.
UACGUAGGGUCCGAGCGUUGUCCGGAAUUAUUGGGCGUAAAGAGCUCGUAGGCGGUUUGUCGCGUCUGCGGUGAAAUCCCGAGGCUCAACCUCGGGCCUGCAGUGGAUACGGGCAGACUGGAGUGCGGUAGGGGAGAAUGGAAUUCCUGGUGUAGCGGUGGAAUGCGCAGAUAUCAGGAGGAACACCGAUGGCGAAGGCAGUUCUCUGGGCCGUAACUGACGCUGAGGAGCGAAAGCGUGGGGAGCGAACAGG